This 497-nucleotide ribosomal RNA is filed under the name uncultured bacterium. Its description in RNAcentral is "partial 16S ribosomal RNA". It matches the Rfam family "Bacterial small subunit ribosomal RNA", at positions 28 to 507 of the family's 1533-position model. The record is from RNAcentral.
GAUGAACGCUGGCGGCGUGCCUAAUACAUGCAAGUCGAGCGAACAGACGAGGAGCUUGCUCCUCUGACGUUAGCGGCGGACGGGUGAGUAACACGUGGAUAACCUACCUAUAAGACUGGGAUAACUUCGGGAAACCGGAGCUAAUACCGGAUAAUAUAUUGAACCGCAUGGUUCAAUAGUGAAAGACGGUUUUGCUGUCACUUAUAGAUGGAUCCGCGCCGCAUUCGCUAGUUGGUAAGGUAACGGCUUACCAAGGCAACGAUGCGUAGCCGACCUGAGAGGGUGAUCGGCCACACUGGAACUGAGAAAAGGACCAGACUCAUAAGGGAGGCAGCAGUAGGGAAUAUUCCGAAAUGGGCGAAAGCCUGACGGAGCAACGCCGCGUGAGAGAUGAAGGUCUUCGGAUCGUAAAACACUGUUAUUAGAGAAGAACAAAUGUGUAAGUAAAUAUGCACGUCGUGACGGUACCUAAUCAGAAAGACAAGGCUAACUACGUG